UCCAGAAGGAAACAUCCCAGACGGCUGGAUGUGGUUUUAAAAGCUGAACCAAAGCGACGCAGAGCAGGCCGGAAAGAACUCGAGGAGGACGGUGCCAGACGGACGUUUGAUUUUACGUUCAAAGAGAGUUUGGCAGUUUGCGGAGGAAAGUUCCGGGAAGCACUUUAACAUGGACUCGAGCCGCAGUGACCACACGUCCUCGCCCUGCUUCAACCAUCAAGACAUAGAACAGAUAGUUGGUGAAGAGGAGCAGCAGGAGUGUAGCUCCAGCGUGGACCAGCAGGAGCCAGAGCCCCCCCCCC
Long non-coding RNA from Sander lucioperca (pikeperch), 302 nucleotides. RefSeq lists it as uncharacterized. The record is from RefSeq and is a predicted model, not a curated record. Lineage: Eukaryota; Metazoa; Chordata; Actinopteri; Perciformes; Percidae. The transcript has 3 exons.